RNAcentral lists this ribosomal RNA (278 nucleotides) under Mycoplasmopsis bovirhinis. RNAcentral describes it as "Mycoplasma bovirhinis partial 16S ribosomal RNA". It matches the Rfam family "Bacterial small subunit ribosomal RNA", at positions 863 to 1162 of the family's 1533-position model. The record is from RNAcentral. Lineage: Bacteria; Bacillati; Mycoplasmatota; Mycoplasmoidales; Metamycoplasmataceae.
AAUAAUCUCCCUGAGUAGUAUGCUCGCAAGAGUGAAACUUAAAGGAAUUGACGGGGAUCCGCACAAGCGCUGGAGCAUGUGGUUUAAUUUGAAGAUACGCGUAGAACCUUACCCACUCUUGACAUCUUCUGCAAAGCUAUAGAGAUAUAGCAGAGGUUAACAGAAUGACAGAUGGUGCAUGGUUGUCGUCAGCUCGUGUCGUGAGAUGUUCGGUUAAGUCCUGCAACGAGCGCAACCCUUGUCCUUAGUUAAUUUUUUAGGGAGACUCCCCAAGUAAU